Molecule: transfer RNA, 73 nt
Filed under: Bacteriophage sp.
Description: tRNA-OTHER
Rfam family: tRNA
About the family: Transfer RNA (tRNA) molecules are approximately 80 nucleotides in length. Their secondary structure includes four short double-helical elements and three loops (D, anti-codon, and T loops).
Source: RNAcentral
UCUCCUAUGGUGUAAUGGUUUAGCACAGAAGACUCUAAAUCUUUUAGUCAGGGUUCGAAUCCUUGUGGGAGAA